GACGAACGCUGGCGGCGUGCUUAACACAUGCAAGUCGAACGGAAAGGCCCUGCUUUUGUGGGGUGCUCGAGUGGCGAACGGGUGAGUAACACGUGAGUAACCUGUCCUUGACUUUGGGAUAACUUCAGGAAACUGGGGCUAAUACCGGAUAGGAGCUCCUGCUGCAUGGUGGGGGUUGGAAAGUUUCGGCGGGUGGGGAUGGACUCGCGGCUUAUCAGCUUGUUGGUGGGGUAGUGGCUUACCAAGGCUUUGACGGGUAGCCGGCCUGAGAGGGUGACCGGCCACAUUGGGACUGAGAUACGGCCCAGACGCCUACGGGCGGCAGCAGUGGGGAAUAUUGCACAAUGGGCGGAAGCCUGAUGCAGCAACGCCGCGUGCGGGAUGACGGCCUUCGGGUUGUAAACCGCUUUCGCCUGUGACGAAGCGUGAGUGACGGUAAUGGGUAAAGAAGCACCGGCUAACUACGUG
RNAcentral lists this ribosomal RNA (468 nucleotides) under uncultured bacterium. RNAcentral's name for it is "partial 16S ribosomal RNA". It matches the Rfam family "Bacterial small subunit ribosomal RNA", at positions 28 to 507 of the family's 1533-position model. The record is from RNAcentral.